UAUCAUAUAAUUUUUCUUGUCACUUUGUUUUCGACAACAGUUGUUACGCGUUAAAAUAUUUUCAACACAGCAUACAUGGACAAAAAGAAUAAAAUGCCUAAAAUAAGUUCGAAAUCGAAAAUAAUUAAAUAUUUAACUUUAACAAAGAUUCCACGAAUAGCGUUAAUUGAAGUAACUGAUGCAAAUAUAUCCAUAAUAACAACGGGAAAAAUAAAGUGUGAAUAAAUUUAUGAAACGAUUACUGGCGGCUGAUGAAUGGCAAAAGAGCUGCAUUUAUUUAUUCUGAAUGUUUUAGUUUUAAAUGAAACAACGAUUAUAAAAAGGGAACAAAUUUAUGUACAUGCUCAAAAUAUAUAAUAUUUGAUUCGAGUGAAAACCUGAAUGUUAUAAGAAAAACUAUUUAUUCGUUGAACACGUGAAGGUACACUAAAAAUAUGCCUCUAUUUGGCAAAAAAGAUUUUAGCAAAAAAAUGAAAAAGGAUAAUAAGGAGUUUAAUAAACAAGCAUCUAUAGAAGAAAAGUACAAUCUGCAUGGACUACUUGGGACAGGUGCUUUUUCUGAAGUACGCCUGGCUGAGAGCAAAGAGAACCCUGAUGAACAUUUCGCAGUUAAGAUUAUCGAUAAAAAGGCGUUAAAAGGAAAAGAAGAAUCACUUGAAAAUGAAAUUCGGGUACUAAGGAGAAAUGGACAUAGAAGACAGCCAACUUACUCCCAAAGCUGUGAGAUCCGCCAUUGCUGCACCUAGAGCAUCAGCGCCACCCAUCGCCGCACCAAGGACACGAAGAGUCUUGAGUCCGCCAAGGCAAUCAUCUGUUGCAACACCCAGGGAUACGUUAGAAGAUCCAUUCGAAGAGACCUUGCCUCCACGAUGCAGCUUAUGCCAUCGGCCCCACGUGCUGAAGAGGUGCACUAUCUUCAAAAGCAUGAAGCCAGCUCAACGCCAACAGAUCGCUCGCGCACACGGCCAUUGCAUGAAUUGCUUGGCAGACUCCCACACCACCUUCGAAUGUCCAACCGACGGGUUAUGCCAAUACUGUCAACGCCCUCAUCAUACACUGUUUCAUCGAUUCCCUCGUCGAGUCAAUCCGCCAGCAAUCCGCACAAAUAACGGACACAGACAACACGAGGAUCCUGUCCAGCGCCGAAGAGGGCACCAUUCCAAACGCACCAGGGGAGCGCACUCACGACCACCUGCACCAACCUACGGUCAUCGUAAUCCACCCCGCAGACCCACUGGACUGAACGCCGUAGUGAGCACUCUGCAACGGUUGCAACGUCUUCUAGGCGAUUAAUCCGCCUAGGGGGGGCCGGGAUGUUUAUGCGACAUCUGGUCGUGAGAUAUUUUGCUACGCCGCGCAUAUCAUCCUCACAGCACUCAUCACACACAAUCCACACACAACCCAAUACAACACAACAUGUCAUCCACACAACCACAGCUACACAUCAUACCAACCACACUACACACCAACACUUCGCCUUUUUCACCACUCACAA
This 1495-nucleotide unclassified non-coding RNA is filed under the name Bactrocera tryoni. RNAcentral describes it as "calcium/calmodulin-dependent protein kinase type 1- like, transcript variant X14". The record is from RNAcentral. Lineage: Eukaryota; Metazoa; Arthropoda; Insecta; Diptera; Tephritidae.